This 497-nucleotide ribosomal RNA is filed under the name uncultured bacterium. RNAcentral's name for it is "partial 16S ribosomal RNA". It matches the Rfam family "Bacterial small subunit ribosomal RNA", at positions 28 to 507 of the family's 1533-position model. The record is from RNAcentral.
GAUGAACGCUGGCGGCGUGCCUAAUACAUGCAAGUCGAGCGAACAGAUGAGGAGCUUGCUCCUCUGACGUUAGCGGCGGACGGGUGAGUAACACGUGGAUAACCUACCUAUAAGACUGGGAUAACUUCGGGAAACCGGAGCUAAUACCGGAUAAUAUAUUGAACCGCAUGGUUCAAUAGUGAAAGACGGUUUUGCUGUCACUUAUAGAUGGAUCCGCGUCGCAUUAGCUAGUUGGUAAGGUAACGGCUUACCAAGGCAACGAUGCGUAGCCGACCUGAGAGGGUGAUCGGCCACACUGGAACUGAGACACGGUCCAGACUCCUACGGGAGGCAGCAGUGGGGAAUCUUCCGCAAUGGGCGAAAGCCUGACGGAGCAACGCCGCGUGAGUGAUGAAGGUCUUCGGAUCGUAAAACUCUGUUAUUAGGGAAGAACAAAUGUGUAAGUAACUAUGCACGUCUUGACGGUACCUAAUCAGAAAGCCACGGCUAACUACGUG